This 396-nucleotide ribosomal RNA is filed under the name uncultured bacterium. RNAcentral describes it as "bacterial SSU rRNA". It matches the Rfam family "Bacterial small subunit ribosomal RNA", at positions 30 to 429 of the family's 1533-position model. The record is from RNAcentral.
AUUGAACGCUGGCGGCAUGCCUUACACAUGCAAGUCGAACGGUAACGGGCCUUCGGGUGCCGACGAGUGGCGAACGGGUGAGUAAUGCAUCGGAACGUACCUUUCAGUGGGGGAUAACGUAGCGAAAGUUACGCUAAUACCGCAUAUUCUGUGCGCAGGAAAGCAGGGGAUCGCAAGACCUUGCGCUGAUUGAGCGGCCGAUGUCAGAUUAGCUAGUUGGUGAGGGUAAAGGGCUCACCAAGGCGACGAUCUGUAGCGGGUCUGAGAGGAUGAUCCGCCACACUGGAACUGAGACACGGUCCAGACUCCUACGGGAGGCAGCAGUGGGGAAUUUUGGACAAUGGGGGCAACCCUGAUCCAGCCAUGCCGCGUGGGUGAAGAAGGCCUCGGUGUAAG